RNAcentral lists this ribosomal RNA (253 nucleotides) under uncultured bacterium. RNAcentral describes it as "partial 16S ribosomal RNA". It matches the Rfam family "Bacterial small subunit ribosomal RNA", at positions 524 to 776 of the family's 1533-position model. The record is from RNAcentral.
UACGGAGGGCGCAAGCGUUGUUCGGGAUCACUGGGCGUAAAGCGCGUGUAGGCGGCUCUGCAAGUCGGGUGUGAAAUCCCGAGGCUCAACCUCGGAACUGCACUCGAUACUGCUUGGCUCGAGUCCCGGAGAGGGUAGCGGAAUUCCCGGUGUAGGGGUGAAAUUCGUAGAUAUUGGGAGGAACACCAGUGGCGAAAGCGGCCACCUGGAUGGAGUCUGACGCUGAGGCGCGAAAGCGUGGGGAGCAAACAGG